UACGUAGGGGGCAAGCGUUGUCCGGAUUCAUUGGGCGUAAAGAGCGUGUAGGCGGCCAGGUAGGUCGGUUGUGAAAACUGGAGGCUCAACCUUCAGACGUCGACCGAAACCAUCUGGCUAGAGUCCGGGAGAGGAGAGUGGAAUUCCUGGUGUAGCGGUGAAAUGUGCAGAUAUCAGGAAGAACACCCGUGGCGAAGGCGGCUUUCUGGGACGGUACUGACGCUGAGACGCGAAAGCGUGGGGAGCGAACAGG
Molecule: ribosomal RNA, 253 nt
Filed under: uncultured bacterium
Lineage: Bacteria
Description: partial 16S ribosomal RNA
Rfam family: Bacterial small subunit ribosomal RNA
Source: RNAcentral